Molecule: ribosomal RNA, 256 nt
Filed under: Limosilactobacillus reuteri
Lineage: Bacteria; Bacillati; Bacillota; Bacilli; Lactobacillales; Lactobacillaceae
Description: Lactobacillus reuteri partial 23S ribosomal RNA
Rfam family: Bacterial large subunit ribosomal RNA
Source: RNAcentral
UGACUAGUGAAUACAUAGCUAGCAAGAGGUAGACGCAGUGAACUGAAACAUCUUAGUAGCUGCAGGAAGAGAAAGAAAUAUCGAUUCCCUGAGUAGCGGCGAGCGAAAAGGGAAGAGCCCAAACCAACAAGCUUGCUUGUUGGGGUUGUAGGACUGAACAUUAGAGUUACCAAAGUGCGACGUAGUCGCAACAGUUGGGAAGCUGUGCCAUAGAGGGUGAAAGCCCCGUAGACGAAACGUCACACUCUCUGUUCAG